RNAcentral lists this long non-coding RNA (733 nucleotides) under Equus caballus (horse). RNAcentral's name for it is "lncRNA (ENSECAG00000049944.1)". The record is from RNAcentral. Lineage: Eukaryota; Metazoa; Chordata; Mammalia; Perissodactyla; Equidae.
GACUCUAAUGCAUCUAAGCUGGUAGGAAUUUUAAAUCCAGGCAGGUGCAGCUCCGAGGCACAGAAAAAUGCGGUAGGUCGUGCACGCUGCCAAGAAGCAGGGAUUUCACUUAGGGUUCAGGAUCUGCGCCCAGAAAGAACUGAAAAGUGAAGCCCUCUUCAUGCCUGUGACGUCUGUGACUCGAGACCACCUUUCCCUCCUGUCCAAGAGAAACGUGAGGAUGUUUUCCACAAGGCAGGAAGGAGGCAGCAGAGAGGCUCAAAUGGCCCAGUGAAAACACGACUUUUAAUUAAAAAGAAAUGUUCCCGCCACUGCCUCCACCAGUGCUGCAAACGUCCUUGCGACGAGGGCUCAUUGUGCACAAGAGAAUUAAAAUAUCCGCUUUAAGAGAAGGAAAAUCAUCUUCUGAUCAAAACACCUGUAUUUGAGUUGGGUAAAAAUUCAAGAUCAGUGCAUCUAAAGGACACAUUCAGCUUGCACCCGCAUACUCCGCCUUUUCUCCUGUUUCGACAGACAGCCUCUCUCUGCUCCGAACUAAGGCCAAGCUCAGCAUUUGUGCACUACGUCCCAUCCCCUCUUACUGAGUAUGUGGCUCCAGCAGUUUGCCCUGUCUCCUUCUUUCUCAGCUUUUUCUUCUCUGUGGGUUACAUCCAUGAGCAUCAAAAUGUUCUUAUUUCUCCCAUUCUAAAUAAACCUCCUUUUAAAAUUACUUUUACCAUCAGCUACUGCCCUG